RNAcentral lists this long non-coding RNA (431 nucleotides) under Panax ginseng (ginseng). Its description in RNAcentral is "long non-coding RNA (PGIN_LNC002550)". Lineage: Eukaryota; Viridiplantae; Streptophyta; Magnoliopsida; Apiales; Araliaceae. The record is from RNAcentral.
UUUAGGUUAUUCUGUGUAUUUAAAUAUAACAGUAUUAUACUGUGAUGAUAUUAUUCUAAUAUUGGAGAUCUAUAUUAUUAAUAUUAGGUCUUCGGGUAAAGCGUUAUAAAUUGCGUUGCGGUAAUCAACGGUUCAGGCAAGUUUAUUCUUACUUAACUCUAAUAAGAGUGUUUUAUUCAAGCUUAUGGUUAAUCAUUGCUGAUUGUCAUGAAAAUUGUACUCUGUACAUCUUGCAUGUAUAAGUCAGGUAUGAAAGGCUGAUAACCUUCAUUACCAGUUGGUUCAGAAAUGUUUGUUCAUGUUUAAAACUUGUUCAGUCAAAAGUUUGUUCGUGCUAGUUCUCAAUUAUAUUGAUGAAUUAUAGCCAGCUUAUUAUUCAUACUCUUCAAUCAUGAUAUAUCAUUAUACUGUUGUAUUUAAACUUGCUGGGC